CAACCCUCAGGCCCGGCCUGGCGUUGGGGCACCGCGCAGCGCGCGCGGGCCCUGAAAUACAGUGGCGAGCCCGCCUGGACUCCGAGCGUAGUAGUGUAAAAGCCUCGCUCAGGGCGUCCCGGCGCGCGUCUGCCGUAAAACCCCCAACUCUCACAA
This 156-nucleotide unclassified non-coding RNA is filed under the name uncultured Pleurostoma. RNAcentral's name for it is "sequence contains ITS2". The record is from RNAcentral. Lineage: Eukaryota; Fungi; Ascomycota; Sordariomycetes; Calosphaeriales; Pleurostomataceae.